AACGAACGCUGGCGGCAUGCCUAACACAUGCAAGUCGAACGUGACCUUCGGGUCUAGUGGCGCACGGGUGCGUAACGCGUGGGAACCUGCCCUUAGGUUCGGAAUAACUCCCCGAAAGGGGUGCUAAUACCGGAUAAUGUCUUCGAACCAAAGAUUUAUCGCCUUUGGAUGGGCCCGCGUUGGAUUAGCUAGUUGGUAGGGUAAAAGCCUACCAAGGCGACGAUCCAUAGCUGGUCUGAGAGGAUGAUCAGCCACACUGGGACUGAGACACGGCCCAGACUCCUACGGGAGGCAGCAGUGGGGAAUAUUGGACAAUGGGCGAAAGCCUGAUCCAGCAAUGCCGCGUGAGUGAUGAAGGCCUUAGGGUUGUAAAGCUCUUUUACCCGGGAUGAUAAUGACAGUACCGGGAGAAUAAGCUCCGGCUAACUCCGUG
Molecule: ribosomal RNA, 433 nt
Filed under: uncultured bacterium
Lineage: Bacteria
Description: partial 16S ribosomal RNA
Rfam family: Bacterial small subunit ribosomal RNA
Source: RNAcentral